Molecule: long non-coding RNA, 951 nt
Organism: Gadus macrocephalus (Pacific cod)
Lineage: Eukaryota; Metazoa; Chordata; Actinopteri; Gadiformes; Gadidae
Exons: 2
Source: RefSeq, a predicted model, not a curated record
CAACUAUUCGAAGGCCCUGUUUGUCUUUUUUCAUAUUUUCUAUUUAAUUUGUUAAAUAUACAUUUGUUAAACGUCCCAUGGCAUGCUACUUUAUGGAUGCUUUAAUAUAUAUAUUAGUGGACCCCUAACACAGUAUUUGAAGAUGUUCCCGAAAUUCAGCCGUGGUGCAGAAUUACAGCCACUCGCACAUUGAGCUUUCCCCAAACGCGCUUUAAUGCAAAUGAGGAGGAGAGAGGCAGGUGAAGGAGGAGGAUGGGGGUGUGGCCCUGAGCAGCUGGUGGCCAUGGUACCAUGCGCUCUGUUUACAGUGGAUGUAUCGCAAUGGCGAGGCGCGCACAGCAUUUAGCCGUGUUCUGUAAAUAUUCUAGAACCCUACGGAUGCUCCGGCGGGAUUCCUGGAGCUCUAUAUCUCAAUAUAAUAAAUAUUAUAAUCUUUAAUAUUAUAAAUAGAUAUCUAUAUCAUAUAAUAUAUAUUAUCACAGCAAAAAGCUUUGUGCGCCUCCAGACGAUAAUAUGAAUCUCAAACGUCUGCGUCGGGUUCUCCGACGUCUCUGGUUCUUCCACUUCCACAUCAAUCUGAAGUAGACUGGACCGCGACAGGGAAGAGAAAGAGAUUGUUGCCCGCAAUUGUCUCUCGCCGGAGCCCAGCUGUCGAGGCCAGAGUUCCGGUUGUCCGGUAAUUACCGGUCUUUGACCGGAAAAAAAUGAGGAGGACCGAAAAUUCUAAACGUCUCCGGUCAGAAUGACCAAUUGGAAAUAAGGCCCCGUCCACACGGAGCCGAAACGGGCGAAAACAAUCCGCUAGCCUGUGUGAUAAAAUAAAUAAGUUGUUACAUUUCGUGCACUCGCUCAAAUUGAUCGCUAUAGACUACCGUAGGUUUAUGAACUAAACGGCGGCAAGCUAGCGAAAGCCGGAGGCAAGCUUUGCGGAGCACCGGUAUUUAACAACCA